Long non-coding RNA from Xenopus tropicalis (tropical clawed frog), 1070 nucleotides. RefSeq lists it as uncharacterized. The record is from RefSeq and is a predicted model, not a curated record. The transcript is spliced from 2 exons. Lineage: Eukaryota; Metazoa; Chordata; Amphibia; Anura; Pipidae.
CCUGUAAAGAACAUCAAAAUAAUAAUUAUGUAUAUAGUGUAUAAUGACUGGGGGAAAUUCUGUACAUUUCAACCAACUUCUAAGGUUCAGUGUAUAAAGUUAAUCCCCGUACUGGGACAAGAUUUUACAUGCUUGUACAAGCAGGAUACUAUUGAAGAAAUUAUAGGAAGUAAUUGCCAAGUUUUUUUUCUUGUACUUUUAACUUGCUUUUUGUAUUUUAGCAGAAACUUUAAACCAUCAGCUGAAUAUUUUAUAAACACAAUACUGGGCAAACAUAAUCUUAUUUAUGAAUAAACCAUCAGAAACUUUUAAAAAAUAGCUGUGUAUUAUUUAUUGGCAUUAAAAGGUCAAUAUGCUUGUGCUUUUUCAGGAACACAAUCUGCAGGAAACUAUUUACUAACAAACUGACAUAUAUGAUGCUGGUUACAUAAAGUAAUAGCUGCAGAUGCAAAUACUGUUGAUACUUGGACAAAUAACUUUUACAGGAUUGUUUUGCCACCGAUAUGGAAUCAUGCAGCUUAUUUACCAUCAAGUACAAGGUCAAUAAAAAUCAACUAGGUCCACUUCUGGCAUGUGGGCUUUCAGGUGGACAGUCCUGGCCUUUACAAACUGAUAAGAUGCUUGCAUACAUUAGCAUCAUUAGAAUCACCUGACUGCUGUUUCUGCCCCACACAACAAUAAGGAAAUGAUACAAAGCUUUUAGAUUUUUUCUUUUAACCUACUUGCAAUGGAGUUGGACAGGUGUAUAUACAAUUCUGUUGGACUGUCUGCAAAUGUCUAAUAAGAUGUGCCGGACCAAUGGACCAACCAAGCUGAAAGCAAAAGGAAGGGUAUGAAACAUUAAGUACACCACAAUUUUAAUUCUAUUCUUUAUGAGAAAAUAUAAUUGUUGUUAUUUCCUUUUCUCCCUGUGUUUAAAAUUUCAGCUCAGUGACACCACAGCUAAAGAGGAAAUCUCCCUUUAUGUAGACAUCAUAUUAUACUUUGGGGAUCAGGGCCCCUUGCUGUGGAAAGUGAUUACCAUAAAAGACAAAUUUGUACUGUGAUUUGAAAAUAAACUAGAAAAAGUG